CCUGGCUCAGGAUGAACGCUGACAGAAUGCUUAACACAUGCAAGUCGAUUCGAUUUACCUUCGGGUAUUGAGGAUGGCGGACGGGUGAGUAACGCGUAAGGAACUUGCCUCUUGGACUGGGACAACUGUUGGAAACGACAGCUAAUACCGGAUAUUAUGAGAUUCUCGCAUGGGAAACUUAUGAAAGCUAUAUGCGCCAAGAGAGAGCCUUGCGUUCCAUUAGCUAGUUGGUGGGGUAAUGGCCCACCAAGGCGACGAUGGAUAGCCGGCCUGAGAGGGUGAACGGCCACAAGGGGACUGAGACACGGCCCUUACUCCUACGGGAGGCAGCAGUGGGGAAUAUUGGACAAUGGGCCACAAGCCUGAUCCAGCAAUUCUGUGUGCACGAUGAAGGUCUUCGGAUCGUAAAGUGCUUUCAGUUGGGAAGAAGAAAGUGACGGUACCAACAGAAGAAGCGACGGCUAAAUACGUGCCAACAACCGCGGUAA
Molecule: ribosomal RNA, 488 nt
Filed under: anaerobic bacterium ANA No.6
Lineage: Bacteria
Description: bacterial SSU rRNA
Rfam family: Bacterial small subunit ribosomal RNA
Source: RNAcentral